Molecule: ribosomal RNA, 492 nt
Filed under: uncultured bacterium
Lineage: Bacteria
Description: partial 16S ribosomal RNA
Rfam family: Bacterial small subunit ribosomal RNA
Source: RNAcentral
AGUGAACGCUGGCGGUAGGCCUAACACAUGCAAGUCGAACGGCAGCACAGUAAGAGCUUGCUCUUACGGGUGGCGAGUGGCGGACGGGUGAGGAAUACAUCGGAAUCUACUUUUUCCUUGGGGAUAACGUAGGGAAACUUACGCUAAUACCGCAUACGACCUACGGGUGAAAGCAGGGGAUCUUCGGACCUUGCGCGAUUGAAUGAGCCGAUGUCGGAUUAGCUAGUUGGCGGGGUAAAGGCCCACCAAGGCGACGAUCCGUAGCUGGUCUGAGAGGAUGAUCAGCCACACUGGAACUGAGACACGGUCCAGACUCCUACGGGAGGCAGCAGUGGGGAAUAUUGGACAAUGGGCGCAAGCCUGAUCCAGCCAUACCGCGUGGGUGAAGAAGGCCUUCGGGUUGUAAAGCCCUUUUGUUGGGAAAGAAAAGCAGCAGGUUAAUACCCCGCUGUUCUGACGGUACCCAAAGAAUAAGCACCGGCUAACUUCGUG